CGGCGUCGAGCGGCGGACGGGUGAGUAAUGCCUAGGAAAUUGCCCUGAUGUGGGGGAUAACCAUUGGAAACGAUGGCUAAUACCGCAUGAUGCCUACGGGCCAAAGAGGGGGACCUUCGGGCCUCUCGCGUCAGGAUAUGCCUAGGUGGGAUUAGCUAGUUGGUGAGGUAAGGGCUCACCAAGGCGACGAUCCCUAGCUGGUCUGAGAGGAUGAUCAGCCACACUGGAACUGAGACACGGUCCAGACUCCUACGGGAGGCAGCAGUGGGGAAUAUUGCACAAUGGGCGCAAGCCUGAUGCAGCCAUGCCGCGUGUGUGAAGAAGGCCUUCGGGUUGUAAAGCACUUUCAGUCGUGAGGAAGGUGGUAGUGUUAAUAGCACUAUC
Molecule: ribosomal RNA, 384 nt
Filed under: Vibrio parahaemolyticus
Lineage: Bacteria; Pseudomonadati; Pseudomonadota; Gammaproteobacteria; Vibrionales; Vibrionaceae
Description: bacterial SSU rRNA
Rfam family: Bacterial small subunit ribosomal RNA
Source: RNAcentral